RNAcentral lists this non-coding RNA (46 nucleotides) under Schistosoma mansoni. The record is from RNAcentral. Lineage: Eukaryota; Metazoa; Platyhelminthes; Trematoda; Strigeidida; Schistosomatidae.
AUCCAACUGACGAGUCCCACAAUAGGACGAAACGCGCGUCCUGGAU